GAUGAACGCUGGCGGCGUGCCUAAUACAUGCAAGUCGAGCGAACAGACGAGGAGCUUGCUCCUCUGACGUUAGCGGCGGACGGGUGAGUAACACGUGGAUAACCUACCUAUAAGACUGGGAUAACUUCGGGAAACCGGAGCUAAUACCGGAUAAUAUAUUGAACCGCAUGGUUCAAUAGUGAAAGACGGUUUUGCUGUCACGUAUAGAUGGAUCCGCGCCGCAUUAGCUAGUUGGUAGGGUAACGGCUUAUCAAGGCAACGAUGCGUAGCCGACCGGAGAGGGUGAUCGGCCACACGGGAACGGAGACAGGGUCCAGACUCCUACGGGAGGCAGCAGUAGGGAAUCGUCCGCAAUGGGCGAAAGCCUGACGGAGCAACGCCGCGUGAGUGAUGAAGGUCUUCGGAUCGUAAAACUCUGUUAUUAGGGAAGAACAAAUGUGUAAGUAACUAUGCACGUCUUGACGGUACCUAAUCAGAAAGCCACGGCUAACUACGUG
RNAcentral lists this ribosomal RNA (497 nucleotides) under uncultured bacterium. RNAcentral's name for it is "partial 16S ribosomal RNA". It matches the Rfam family "Bacterial small subunit ribosomal RNA", at positions 28 to 507 of the family's 1533-position model. The record is from RNAcentral.